RNAcentral lists this ribosomal RNA (247 nucleotides) under uncultured Planctomycetales bacterium. RNAcentral describes it as "partial 16S ribosomal RNA". It matches the Rfam family "Bacterial small subunit ribosomal RNA", at positions 434 to 674 of the family's 1533-position model. The record is from RNAcentral. Lineage: Bacteria; Pseudomonadati; Planctomycetota; Planctomycetia; Planctomycetales.
GUCGGGAGUUAAGAAAUGUAGACUCGCUAAUAUCGGGCUAUUUGACAAAGGCUCCAAAGGAAGCCACGGCUAACUCUGUGCCAGCAGCCGCGGUAAUACAGAGGUGGCAAGCGUUGUUCGGAAUUAUUGGGCGUAAAGAGCACGUAGGUGGAUUUGUAAGUCAGAUGUGAAAGCCUUCUGUUCAACGGAAGAAUUGCAUCUGAAACUACAAACCUUGAGUGUAGGAGGGGAGAGUGGAACUUCUGGU